This 468-nucleotide ribosomal RNA is filed under the name uncultured bacterium. RNAcentral's name for it is "partial 16S ribosomal RNA". It matches the Rfam family "Bacterial small subunit ribosomal RNA", at positions 28 to 507 of the family's 1533-position model. The record is from RNAcentral.
GAUGAACGCUGGCGGCGUGCUUAACACAUGCAAGUCGAACGGAAAGACCCUGCUUUUGCGGGGUUCUCGAUUGGCGAAGGGGUGUGUAACACGUGAGUAACCUGCCCCUGACUGUGUGAUAUCAUCAGGAAACUGCGGCUAAUACCGGCUAGGAGCUCCUGCUGCAUGGUGGUGGUUGGAAAGUGUCGGCGGUGGGGGAUGGACUCGCGGGUUAUGAGCUUGUUGGGGGGGUAGUGGCUUACCAAGGCUUUGACGGGUAGCCGGCCUGAGAGGUUGACCAGCGACAUUGGGACUGCGAGACGGCGCAGACUCCUACGGGAGGCAGCAGUGGGGAGUAUUGCACAGUGGGGGGAAGCCUGAUGCGGAAGCGCCGCGUGCGGGAUGACGGCCUUGGGGUUGUGAACCGCUUUCGCCUGUGACGAAGCGUGAGUGACGGUAAUGAGUCAAGAAGCACCGGCUAACUACGUG